RNAcentral lists this ribosomal RNA (462 nucleotides) under Aggregatibacter sp. oral taxon G24. RNAcentral's name for it is "bacterial SSU rRNA". It matches the Rfam family "Bacterial small subunit ribosomal RNA", at positions 30 to 479 of the family's 1533-position model. Lineage: Bacteria; Pseudomonadati; Pseudomonadota; Gammaproteobacteria; Pasteurellales; Pasteurellaceae. The record is from RNAcentral.
AUUGAACGCUGGCGGCAGGCUUAACACAUGCAAGUCGAACGGUAACAGGAGAAAGCUUGCUUUCUUGCUGACGAGUGGCGGACGGGUGAGUAAUGCUUGGGAAUCUGGCUUAUGGAGGGGGAUAACGACGGGAAACUGUCGCUAAUACCGCGUAGUGUCGAGAGAUGAAAGUGCGGGACCUUCGGGCCGCAUGCCAUAGGAUGAGCCCAAGUGGGAUUAGGUAGUUGGUGGGGUAAAGGCCUACCAAGCCGACGAUCUCUAGCUGGUCUGAGAGGAUGACCAGCCACACCGGGACUGAGACACGGCCCGGACUCCUACGGGAGGCAGCAGUGGGGAAUAUUGCGCAAUGGGGGCAACCCUGACGCAGCCAUGCCGCGUGAAUGAAGAAGGCCUUCGGGUUGUAAAGUUCUUUCGGUAUUGAGGAAGGUUGUUGUGUUAAUAGCACGACAAAUUGACUGUAAA